UAAACCACAAAACUUUUUGUUCCUACCUGCACACACGUCCGUGUCACAUUCGGAAUAUUUUGUCCCAAAGAGGUUGCUCAAAGUACAGCGGCGUUCCAGUAUUGUCGGUUGCCUGGGUGUAGGUACACUCGGCGGGUUUGAAGGUCGAGAACUACCGCUGCAUUUGGCGGUGCUCAUUUAGCAUGCUAGUUAACCUAGCAGGCUUCCACAGACAAAAUGGAACUGUUUAUAUACUGGGUUUUCUGCAGGUCCAUCAGCUCUGUCUUGGGUGGCUAUAGACCCUACCCACGUGACGUCACAACUCCGCUCUCCUGAAUGGCGUGUGUGGCUGUUGGUUGCACUAACAGAGAAGAUGGAAGGAGAGACUUGAAGUUUUACCGUAUUCCGAGGGAUCCAAAGAGGAGAGCGAAAUGGACGGCUGCAAUUCGACGUGAAAACUGGGCACCAAAAAAUCACCACAGACUAUGUAGUAGUCAUUUUAUAUCCGGUAAGAUGCAUUUAAGAUAUACUUAGAGAGUUUUGGGCUGACAAAUAACCACAAUUAAGAUCAUUGCGAGGCUAAUCGCCGACAACAUACGACGUAGUACGACAUAGUUUCAAAUUCAAGAUGUUUGUGACUUCCCUUUCUUCCACCAUCGUUAUUUUUUGAAUAAUAUUUAGCUGGUACCAAGUGAAAGAAACUGGCCUCGUCUAUGGAGCUGACAAAUAACCACAAUUAAGAUCAUUGCGAGGCUAAUCGCCGACAACAUACGACGUAGUACGACAUAGUUUCAAAUUCAAGAUGUUUGUGACUUCCCUUUCUUCCACCAUCGUUAUUUUUUGAAUAAUAUUUAGCUGGUACCAAGUGAAAGAAACUGGCCUCGUCUACGGGGCUGACAAAUAACCACAAUUAAGAUCAUUGCUAGGCUAAUCGCCGACAACAUACACGUAUGUAUGUAGUGAGAGUGCUAUCGCUAAACCAUAUAAACAUUAAAAGCCUUAACUCCAUUGACAAACGACAUGAAAUACAUUAGACUUGACAGUGGAUGUUAGCAAUAACAAAAGAUUUUGAAUUGAAAAUUUCGUAACUCACCUUUCCAAGCACAAGAUAGAUUCCUGCCGAAUUUUCGUGGACGAGGACCUGUUUCACCCAACCAGCAACGAAGUAUUUAUAAGCCUCCAAGCUCUUGAAGUUUUUCAAAUUUUCGUGGGAAUAGGCUGAUUUUGUGUGGACAAGAUAGUUGCACAUAUCAGGGUAGCUAGCAGAUGUCAGGCAGACAGGGCGAAGACAGUGGGUCGAAAAACAUCGA
Molecule: long non-coding RNA, 1289 nt
Organism: Corythoichthys intestinalis (scribbled pipefish)
Lineage: Eukaryota; Metazoa; Chordata; Actinopteri; Syngnathiformes; Syngnathidae
Exons: 3
Source: RefSeq, a predicted model, not a curated record